UCACCCAUUUUUGCACCCGUUAACCGAGACCUAUGGGUGGAUAAAUUACGUCUCUCAUAUCCUGUAGUGAAGGGAUUACAGGAAAUAUAGUAUCGC
The submitters of this non-coding RNA (96 nucleotides) gave its source as unclassified sequences. The record is from Rfam.